Hyla sarda is the source of this 524-nucleotide long non-coding RNA. RefSeq lists it as uncharacterized. The transcript is spliced from 3 exons. NCBI's taxonomy places the organism in Eukaryota, Metazoa, Chordata, Amphibia, Anura, Hylidae. The record is from RefSeq and is a predicted model, not a curated record.
CCAUCAAUGAGAUGACAGGGAAACGGGAUUCAAAAAUGUAGAGGGCGAAAGGGAAUGCUUCCUGUAUGUCUCCAGUGCGGGCGCCAUUUUACUGUGGACACGGCCGUUAGAUAUAAAGAGCGUUGGUCUCCGGGAAAGUUGUCGAUGUAUUAUUUGGGGCCCCUUGGCAGUCUGUCUUUGUGGACCUCAAGUUGGGCCAGAUGAUCAUCUCUCUGCUGGGAGCCAACCUGCAGUGUUUUCCAGAGCCAAUAAAGGGAUCAACCACCUGAGGAACUGCUCAACAGAACAUCUACACUCCAUACGGGCUAACCUUCAGUGCCAUUUGCUAACUCUACUCUACUUUGUUGUUGGAACUGCUCAAGAUAUGUGCCUCCACUACUGUUCAAAUUCUGAAACUUAUGGUGUAUAGGGGCAGAGAGCAGAAAACCGAGCCAGCGCUUUUUACUAACGAUAUAAUAUUAUUCAUUGUAAGCCUUACGAAGAUACACAUAUGGAUUGCAAUAAUAAAAAAAUUCUGCAAUGAA